GCCCGUCGCUCCUACCGAUUGGAUGACUCGGUGAAAUCACCGGAUGCUUACGAGCAGAAAGUGAUUAAAUCACGUUAUCUAGAGGAAGGAGAAGUCGUAACAAGGUAACGGUAGGUGAACCUGCCGUUGGAUCAGUUCUAGUUUUUAUAACUAACACCAACUUCUUUUAUUAAACAAAAACCAAUACAAAAAUUAAAAACUAACUUCAUCAAAAACC
This 217-nucleotide ribosomal RNA is filed under the name Trichomonas vaginalis G3. Its description in RNAcentral is "5.8S ribosomal RNA". The stretch from base 1 to 137 matches the Rfam family "Eukaryotic small subunit ribosomal RNA", at positions 1671 to 1831 of the family's 1831-position model. The record is from RNAcentral. Lineage: Eukaryota; Parabasalia; Trichomonadida; Trichomonadidae.